CUCCAGUAUUGCAGGACCUACAUUGUCACA
Molecule: non-coding RNA, 30 nt
Filed under: Rattus norvegicus (Norway rat)
Lineage: Eukaryota; Metazoa; Chordata; Mammalia; Rodentia; Muridae
Source: RNAcentral